CCCGCCGGCGACCGGCGCACGGGUGAGUAACACGUAUGCAACCUGGCCGCCACAGGGGGAUAACCCGCGGAAACGCGGCCUAAUACCCCGUGACGCCACCGGAGGGCAUCCUCCGGUGGCCAAAGGAGCGAUCCGGUGGCGGAUGGGCAUGCGGCGCAUUAGCUAGACGGCGGGGUGACGGCCCACCGUGGCGACGAUGCGUAGGGGUUCUGAGAGGAAGGCCCCCCCACACUGGGACUGAGACACGGCCCAGACUCCUACGGAAGGCAGCAG
This 273-nucleotide ribosomal RNA is filed under the name uncultured bacterium. RNAcentral's name for it is "partial 16S ribosomal RNA". It matches the Rfam family "Bacterial small subunit ribosomal RNA", at positions 84 to 354 of the family's 1533-position model. The record is from RNAcentral.